Molecule: long non-coding RNA, 3748 nt
Organism: Strigops habroptila (Kakapo)
Lineage: Eukaryota; Metazoa; Chordata; Aves; Psittaciformes; Psittacidae
Exons: 2
Source: RefSeq, a predicted model, not a curated record
UGGAGAUACUAAAGGUAUCCUGUCAGUGCUAAAUACGUCAAUAUUUGUUCCUGUUCUAUAAAGGACACUUGUGAGAUACUUGUAGGAUACACAGCAGUGGUUAUAAUUGAAAAUGAAAGGGGUCUCAGCAGCAGGGUUAUCCUUGUGAAGUCCUAUUUUUUUUUCUUCCCCGCUGUUUGUGCACUCAGCAAUUAGCACAGCACUGAUAGCAGUGCUAAACUUCAGAAUGCUUUUUCAACAAUACAGGUGCAUAGAUAAGUGCACCCUUGCUGCAGAUAAGGAGAGGUAAGAGUCUGGUAUGUGAAAAAUGAGAGUGGAGAAGUACUUUGUGACAUAACUAGUUGCUCAAGACACUUGAGAGGAGAUGAUGCAUACUUUCUUUAUAGCCUGUAAGCAAAGGAAUUUCUCUGAGAAGCUCAUAUGAGUGGAGCCCAUGGUGGAUACCUCAAGUUUCUUUUAGCAUCAUGCAGUGUUACAAGGUUUAAUCCUUCUAUUAAAAUGCUUGUCUAGGAAAAGAAAAAAGUUCAUGUUACUGCAUAACCUGUUACUUUUGCUAAGCAUGUCUCUCAUACCUCUUCUAAUUUGUUCGGUGAUUAAGACAGAGCUGGAGAGGCUGCAGCUGUCCGGUACCAAGGAGAUUGUGGUGCCAACUGCUGGCAGCCAGAAGACUCAGCUAAAUGUAGAAGAACAUGGGCCUUUUUGUGGGUUCUGUGGUAUUUCAGUUAUUUGGGAGAGCUCUGGGUAGGAACUUGUGAUAUGUCUAAGUAAUCUAAAAGCAACUCCUGUAACUAUGUAUCUGUGUGGUUUUACUUUGCAAAAAACCUAAGAGAAGAAAAAAAAACACCCAACCAAACCACCCUCUGCUGGUGUUUUGUAGCUGUUGAUUUUUUUUGUUUCAGAGAGCACCUGUAUUAGAAGGCUGAGGUAUUGCAUAUGAAAAGAUAGGGAUUUUCCAUCUAAUUCUACCUGUAAAUGCUCGCUUCUUUUGCUAAGUCCACAUUUCAGACUUUUGUUGAGACUAAGUUUGGGGUUUUUUUUUACAUGCUGAAGCUUUAUCUUUUAGUCAAUCUCUGCAUUUUUCCUAAAGAAAUUAAAAUAAAUUUUGGGACUUCUUAUACUCUGAAGUGCAUAUGUUUCUCACAUAUAAAAUUGUGUGUUAUUCAAUAUCCCUUUACAAAUUUCUUCAGUGUUUCACUUCCUUAAAGAAAAUAGUGACAUUUCCUUUCUUUUCCCCACUGCAACAAAAUCAAAGAAUACAUUUUGGAUGCUCUUCAAUGUAAAGUUUAAAUUUGGCUUUUGCUCUAAAGUUGUCUGUAGAAUGGAGAUUAAGGUACUUUGCAGCCUCAUUGACUAGGAAAUGUAGCCAAACAUAAUAAAUGCAAUUCACUGAAGUUAAAGUACAACAGCCACCUUGAGGAAGAUCAAAGUUAGGGAUCACUGCUUUCUUCUUAAGUGCAUGGAACAGAAUGGGGAGGGACACCCAGUACCACAGGAAGAGAAAAGCUGUAUAUAGUGAAUUUCUCCUUCCAAGACCAAGUUAAGGAUUUACACUAAUUCUUGACUAUGAUGUAACAAAGAAUUUAUAGUGCAGACUGGUUUAUAUUACAGAAAAAUCGCUAUUGGCACCAAUAUGUGGGAGCAAGAUUUAUUUGAUCAAAGGAUUUGUGUCUUUAGCCUGGUGGUUCAAGGUUUUUCUUUGAAUAUUUUGAUCUGAACUAUGAAGAAAAAAAUGCAUCAUUUUAAGACAGGGUCUAAAGCCCAUUGGAAUUACAUUUUAGGGAUGGUUCAUUAUCCUGAGUAACCUUUGAAUCAGAAGUUUUUAAUCUUUUAAUUGUACUAAGCUGACUUAUGCUCUCAGAGAAGAGAGUUUCAGUAUUUUUUAUUUAGUAAAACCUCUUUAAUUAUUAGUUUUCAACAGUCAUCUGUUUAAAUGAUGCCAAAUGGUCCCUUAGCAAUGAGUAGUGCUGUUCUCUCAGUUGAGCUGCUUUGGGUGAUUCCUUUCAGUAUACUUGGAUUUUGGCAUGCAUGGAGAACUGUGCAUCUUUCACAGUGGCUGCUGUAAUGAAUGCUAAGCAAACAAUACCUUCUUUUUAAGCAAGCAAAAUAACAAAAUACCAUACAUAAAAAAUACUAGUCUUCUAGCAAAAUCAAAUACUUGACAAACAUUUAAUAUCUUCUGUUGCUAACUAUAAAAAGUCUAUGUGACCAAGAAAAAUACAGCUCUUAUAAUGUAUUUAGGGUUAAAGUUCUCUGGAUUUUGGAUGUGAUAGGAUUUUGUAUACUGCUGUGUGAUAGAGGUCCCCUUAUGCCAUCCUUUUCACACCUACCCAGGGGUUAUUUUGUAGGCUCUCUACUGCCUAUUUGUCCUCACGGCUCUUAUUUCAAGCAUUGUUUCCUGUGUCUGAAACUUCUGAACCAUAAAAAGAAGUUACUGGAGUUAAAGGAGUAGUAUUUUUUCCUCAUAGGUCAUGUAAUACGGCUUUAGAUUUUGUGGUAGAUUCCAGGUUUGGCCUGGAAAAGAAGACUGUUUGUUUGCUUACCAGCAGUGUUAAUUCAUGUCUGAGCAACAGAGGUGUAGGUUAGAACAGUUGUGGGGGUUUUGUGUUGGUGUUUUUUUUUUUUUUUGGUGGGGUUUUUUUUUCUGGUUUUUUUUUUUGUUUUGUUUUUUUUGUUUUUUAACACUUCAUUGCUAUUAAAGGAACUUGCUGGAAUUUUUUCUUACUCGUCUUUUGAUUUUCAUUCUGUUAUGUAGGACACAGUUUGAUGUGCAGAAUAGAGCACUAAUUGCCCAGAAGGAGCUUGGACUCAAUUAGAUUAUGGAUGACUGUGGAAGGUUGAUAACUUGGGUGUAUUGCCAAGUUAGCUAUGCUUUGCUGGAUGGAGGCAGCCUAAGACCUCUUGGAAAUGUAAAUGAAAUGGCAUUUGUUGAGAAGAAGAUGAGAGGCCAGUGCCAGGCUGGGCUGGGCAGCUGGGGGCCAGGGGCAAGGGAAGAGGUUGCUGGUACUGGUGAGUGGGCAUCAUUCCACCCUUGUGUUGGUGGUCACAGUGCUCUGACAGGCAACCGGGAAGCUCAUUUGCAAGGCCUAGCAGCAUUUCCAAAGGUAUUCAGAUUCUGGGUUUGCUUCAUGUCCCCUGGAAGCUUCGAGGUCCAUCCCCUUGAAUCCAGAAUACUGAAUUUGCCCCCUUCUCCCCACUCCACCCAAGUGACCUGCAUUGUCCUGCAAGCCCAACUCUUCCAUUGAUUGGCAUGUGGUCUAUAAUAUAAUCAGGACGUAAUCCAUCGAUUAAUUUGAAAAUGAGAAUCAAAGCUGUAAGCUGGUGUUGGAAGCUGGCUUGCAAGGAACUCUAGCAGAGAUUGUAUAACAAGGUCCUGGGAGAGGAGAGAUGACGCAGAGCUGUGUUUAGGGCAGAGGCAUGCUGUACUAUGUAUAGGUUCAAGCUAAUUAUGCCUGAACAAAACUGUAUGUGUGUUUUUUUCUACAGUCUAAUUGGCAACCUUGAUUUUCAUCUCUAACCAGUAGCCAGCAAUUUCUUGAGUUUCUCAUCUGAGGGAUUCAGAACACCGUUCAAUGAUUACAGAUACCUCCUGAUUGUGGAGUAGAGAUUUAGCACCCUGGCUCAUAUCUCCUCUAUUUUUACUUGUUCCCUGUAGGAAGUUUUUUGAGCUGGUGGCAAUAUUGACUUAAUGGUCACAGUUCCCAUCUGCUUGUUCUCACUUCAUGGUUUGAACCUGUAGAAUUGUUUCUUU